AACUCCUUGAAACGUUGUGCCUCUUCUGCACCACCGCAGGAUGGUCCAACAUCAGUGAAAAAGAGCCAUGCCAGCACUAAACACAGUGAGUUAACAGAUCCAUCGGGUGACAGCGAGCCUUAAGAAGUGGUUUGUCCUUCUUUAUAAGUGUAGUAAUACAGAAACUCCAGAAACCAUCGAAGAGAAUUUAAUCUUAAAAUUUAUUCUGGAUGUUUUAGAUAAAUCACAAUUGAAUUUCAGUAAUAGGUUAAGUAAUAAAUUUUCAUUGAAGGAUUCUAUGCAAAGUAAAUUUGAACAAAUUCUUCAACGUUAUUCAUAUAAAAUAGAU
Long non-coding RNA from Neoarius graeffei (lesser salmon catfish), 328 nucleotides. RefSeq lists it as uncharacterized. The record is from RefSeq and is a predicted model, not a curated record. NCBI's taxonomy places the organism in Eukaryota, Metazoa, Chordata, Actinopteri, Siluriformes, Ariidae. The transcript is spliced from 3 exons.